This 68-nucleotide transfer RNA is filed under the name Marmota monax (woodchuck). RNAcentral's name for it is "tRNA.Ala". The stretch from base 3 to 63 matches the Rfam family "tRNA", at positions 6 to 65 of the family's 71-position model. From Rfam's summary of the family: Transfer RNA (tRNA) molecules are approximately 80 nucleotides in length. Their secondary structure includes four short double-helical elements and three loops (D, anti-codon, and T loops). Lineage: Eukaryota; Metazoa; Chordata; Mammalia; Rodentia; Sciuridae. The record is from RNAcentral.
GUUGUGGCUCAGUGGUAGAGUGCUCGUUUCGCAUGUGUGUGGCCCUGGGUUCAAUCCUCAGCACUACA